UACGGAGGGGCGAGCGUUAUUCGGAAUUAUUGGGCGUAAAGGGCGCGUAGGCGGCCCUGCAAGUCAAAGGUGAAAUCCCUCGGCUCAACUGAGGAACUGCCUUUGAAACUGCAGGGCUUGAGUCCGGGAGGGGUAGCGGAAUUCCCAGUGUAGCGGUGAAAUGCGUAGAUAUUGGGAGGAACACCAGUGGCGAAGGCGGCUACCUGGACCGGAACUGACGCUGAUGCGCGAAAAGCGGUGGGUAGCAAACGAGGA
This 255-nucleotide ribosomal RNA is filed under the name uncultured bacterium. RNAcentral's name for it is "partial 16S ribosomal RNA". It matches the Rfam family "Bacterial small subunit ribosomal RNA", at positions 524 to 778 of the family's 1533-position model. The record is from RNAcentral.